CACGUAGGGACCAAGCGUUUUCCGGAUUUAUUGGGCGUAAAGAGCUCGUAGGCGGUUCGGUAAGUCGGGUGUGAAAACUCUGGGCUCAACCCGGAGAGGCCACCCGAUACUGCCGUGACUUGAGUCCGGUAGGGGAGCACGGAAUUCCUGGUGUAGCGGUGAAAUGCGCAGAUAUCAGGAGGAACACCGGUGGCGAAGGCGGUGCUCUGGGCCGGUACUGACGCUGAGGAGCGAAAGCGUGGGUAGCAAACAGG
This 254-nucleotide ribosomal RNA is filed under the name uncultured bacterium. RNAcentral's name for it is "partial 16S ribosomal RNA". It matches the Rfam family "Bacterial small subunit ribosomal RNA", at positions 524 to 776 of the family's 1533-position model. The record is from RNAcentral.